CCUACGGGUGGCAGCAGUGAGGAAUAUUGGUCAAUGGGCGAGAGCCUGAACCAGCCAAGUCGCGUGAGGGAGUACUGCCCUAUGGGUUGUAAACCUCUUUUGUCGGGGAGCAAAAGCCGGACGUGUCCGGCUGUGAGAGUACCCGAAGAAAAAGCAUCGGCUAACCCCGUGCCAGCAGCCGCGGUAAUACGGAGGAUGCGAGCGUUAUCCGGAUUUAUUGGGUUUAAAGGGUGCGCAGGCGGAUUUUUAAGUCAGCGGUAAAAUCGUGGGGCUCAACCCCAUCCAGCCGUUGAAACUGGGGAUCUAGAGUGUGCGAGAGGUAUGCGGAAUGCGUGGUGUAGCGGUGAAAUGCAUAGAUAUCACGCAGAACCCCGAUUGCGAAGGCAGCAUACCGGUGCACAACUGACGCUCAGGCACGAAAGCGUGGGUAUCGAACAGGAUUAGAUACCCCAGUAGUC
This 458-nucleotide ribosomal RNA is filed under the name uncultured bacterium. Its description in RNAcentral is "partial 16S ribosomal RNA". It matches the Rfam family "Bacterial small subunit ribosomal RNA", at positions 338 to 795 of the family's 1533-position model. The record is from RNAcentral.